Macrobrachium nipponense is the source of this 1785-nucleotide long non-coding RNA. RefSeq lists it as uncharacterized. The transcript is spliced from 2 exons. Lineage: Eukaryota; Metazoa; Arthropoda; Malacostraca; Decapoda; Palaemonidae. The record is from RefSeq and is a predicted model, not a curated record.
UGAACGAAAACACAUUCCUGUUAAAGAAUCAACGUUACUGAAGAAUGUUCGACAAGGACGAAUCUUUGCUGAACAACGAAACGAGAAAACAGCGUCAGUCAAGAUUGAUUGUCAAACAUAAUAGGUGAAUUCUACAACGAAGCAAGGGAUAUCGAAAAAGCAAAACGAACGAACAGAAAGGCAAACAUGCAGCUCAUCAUAGCACUAGUUUUGACUGGACUCAUCUCUUCAGAAGUGGAGAUAAGAAAAGGUGCCCUGUUAAAAAGACAUGGAAAAGUCAAAAUGAUCAAGGACCUUGGAAUAGUUAGUAUAGAUAUUUCCACAGUGUUCAAACGUGAAAGUGAACUAAGAGAAAUCCAAAAUGGUAUUAAAGCAAUCCUACAGAAGGGUGAUAAUAACAGUGCCAUGUAAUUAUUGGAAAAGUUGAGCAUGAACAUAGAUAACACACUGACAACAAGGUCCAAAAGAUCCCUCUUACUCUUCAUUGGAACUGCUCUAAAUCAGUUGUUUGGGAUCGCUACGAAGAAAAUGUAGAACUAGAAAAGGAAAGAAUUGACAGACUGGAAAAGUGGGCAGCCGCAAGGGGUACAGUGAUAAAUAAAGUGACUACCUCUCACAAUCAAAAUGCAGAACAAGUAGAAAAAUUAAAAGUAUUCAUAAGUCAAGUGAAUCAGAAUGUAACAAAAGAACUCAAUAAGAUAGAAAAUAUAGUGUUUAAAUACCUUUGCACUGGAAAGUGAAGUGAUGUUACAAGAACAUAAAGACAUACUGAAUGCUGUCUUACUUGCUUACAAAGGUAUUUUGAGCCUAACACUUAUCACUCCAAAGGAAUUAGAAGGCAUUAAUAAAUAGUUUUAUAUAAUUGAGAAGCAUUGCACACCUUUAGUAGAAGAUAUUUUCAUGCACUAUAAUUUGAUAGGUGCCAAAGUAACCCAUGACAGAAUUAUUUUAGUUCUAUCUUUCAAUACGAAAAUUUCAAAUGUGCUAGUUUCUGUAUAUCCCUUUCCUUUGUAUAUUGAAAAUCAGAUCAUUAUUAGAAAUGGGCUUAGUAUUCAUUUUGCAUUGGAAGAACGUGGAUUAAUGUUAGCCUUUUUAACUGAUGAAUAAUUCAAUGAAUGUGUAAUUUUGAAGGAAAAAGAGUAUAUAUGUUAUAUUGAUAACUUAUAUAAGACUACCAAUGAUCAUCCCUGUAUACAAGAGUUGAUUUUAAAACAAAAUCAAGAAAAGGAUAUGUGUACACAGUCAUUUAAUAAGUCAUUUGAAGCAACUAUAGUGAAGGAAGACAUUUUUGUAUUUUCAUUACAUACUAUUAUAGCCAUAGUCACUUGUCUUAAUAUCACCACCCAACUGAGCAAGUCUUAUGCAACAUCAUGUAAGUUAGGUAUACAAUAUCACUUAUACUAUGAACCACAACUUUUCACUGAAUACCUUUUCAACAAAUAUAUGCCAUAUAAGAAUUACACAUUUGCAAUUGAUGAGUUUAAAUUGUCUCAGCUAGAAUUAAAGGAACUUGAGACCUUGAAUUAUGUUGAUGACUAUCACUUGUAUACGAAACAGAUAGCACCAUUUCUUUCAUUUGUAAAUCUGCUGAUAAUAGUAGUCACUAUUGUGUUGUUUGUCAUCAUAGUGAGGCAUUUUUUUAUCAAAAAGAUACAAGGGAAAAGAAAUUAUCCAUAAUUGACAUUUAAUAUCCACAUCAUUUUUAACAUUUUUUCUCAGAUAAUGUAUUCUGACUAAUAAUUUAUUAUGCUUAUGCUUUAAUACAUUUUUAAUCUCACAUAUUUA